GUGUCAGCCGCCGCGGUAAUACGUAGGUGGCAAGCGUUGUCCGGAUUUAUUGGGUUUAAAGGGUGCGUAGGUGGUCUAUUAAGUCAGUGCUGAAAUAUCCCGGCUUAACCGGGAGGGUGGCAUUGAUACUGAUGGACUUGAGUAAAGUUGAGGUGGGCGGAAUUGACGGUGUAGCGGUGAAAUGCUUAGAUAUCGUCAAGAACACCUAUUGCGAAGGCAGCUCACUAAGCUUUAACUGACACUGAGGCACGAAAGUGUGGGGAUCAAACAGGAUUAGAAACCCGUGUAGUCC
RNAcentral lists this ribosomal RNA (292 nucleotides) under uncultured bacterium. Its description in RNAcentral is "partial 16S ribosomal RNA". It matches the Rfam family "Bacterial small subunit ribosomal RNA", at positions 505 to 796 of the family's 1533-position model. The record is from RNAcentral.